This 207-nucleotide ribosomal RNA is filed under the name Astrosyne radiata. Its description in RNAcentral is "partial Bacterial large subunit ribosomal RNA". It matches the Rfam family "Bacterial large subunit ribosomal RNA", at positions 915 to 1120 of the family's 2925-position model. Lineage: Eukaryota; Bacillariophyta; Fragilariophyceae; Cyclophorales; Cyclophoraceae. The record is from RNAcentral.
UGGACGAGGGGCCCCUCUCGGGUUACCGAAUUCAGACAAACUCCGAAUGCCAAUCAAUUUAACUUGGGAGUCAGAACAUGGGUGAUAAGGUCCGUGUUCGAAAGGGAAACAGCCCAGACCACCAGCUAAGGUCCCAAAAUAUAUGUUAAGUGGAAAAGGAUGUGGCGUUGCCCAGACAACUAGGAUGUUGGCUUAGAAGCAGCCAUC